CCAAAUUAAACAAGAUGUGUAACAUUAGUAGGGUAUAGUGAGGGUGGGAGCCUCAGUUGUUAGUGAGAGUCAUGCAACAAACUCUAAGGGAAAAAUUGUGUUUUCUAGGAUGUAAUUUCAGGGGUAAAUGGAAAGAUGAGUGAGGCUGUAUGAUGCAGUGGAAAAGAUUCAAAAUGAGGAAUUCAGAGGACCUGGGUUAUAUUCCCAGCUUUGCUUCAGACCUCCUGUUGAACUUUGAGUCUCAAUUGCCCAUCUGUAACAAAUGGAGAUAAUGAUGUCCAUGAAUGUUAAGACUAAGCUGAACUGUACCAAAAUAUAGAAAAGCAAAACAAAAAAAAUGAUUCAGCUGUAACAUAUUAAGAGAUGCACCUCCCCUGUUCAAGAGUGCAAUGCAAGCCUUUUGGUACUGAGAAAACUACUCUGUGACCUCUGCUGCGAAGGACUUUCCUUGCUCCCUCCAAAGGAUCUAAUUCAUUUCCAAAGCAACGCAACAAAAAGGCCUCUUGCGGAUACACACACACUGAUUCUUUUAAAGUCAGUUCAUUUGUGGCAUGUGCUGACAAACUGAAGAGCUGCAUUUAUGACAUUUCCGAGGAAGAAUUACUGAGCAUAAGGGUGAAGGCUUAAAGGCAUAGGCCAGCUUUGCUCACACAACUCUGUGGAUAAAAUUAAGUCCUAACCUGCAGCCCUCAGUCCUAUUCUUGUGUUGGCCACGUUCCUCUGUGAUUGCUACUCCAUCCUGACCAGCAGCAACUUUUGAUAUGGCAGUAAUACGCCUCUCUUGUUCAGAAACUGACACAUGGGCUUGCAGAUGCCAAAAUUGGCCUUUUGGUUAGCCAAGUUGGGUUGGCUUUGUGACGUGGCAAAUGUUGGCUAGGGACUAGACUGAGAUCGCAGCAUUCAUUUGGUUUGUGUGUUUUUAUAGGUAAAGAAUUAGGACUAACCAUGCAAACCUUACUUCUGUAUGGUAGUUCCCUUGACUCCAGUCAGACUACUUUCAAAUCGCAAUGUAAAAAAAGAAGUCUAUUUCCACAUUUUUAUAUGAAGAUUAGCCUUCACCUUUUCCAUCAGGCUGGGAAUGCUUAAGACUGAAGGGAUGGCUUUUUGCCCAGACAGAGGAACUGAAAUAAAUAUGAACAGACCUAAUAACUCCUCACAUGAAUAUAGGCUGUCGAAUCAGGUCCCUAGCCUGUAACGUCCUUUGGGACAAAAAGUGCCAAAUAAAUGUGUGCACGAGAGAGAAAGAGAAGGUAAGUGAGGUAAUAUUUUUUAUUGGACAAACUUCUGAUAAAGUAAAAUUCCAAUAAAAGAUCUUUUCUCUCUCUCUCUCUUUCAUAUCCUGGGACCAACUUGGCUGCAACACUGGAAAUAAAUAUAUGAUUGAACCAAUAAUGAUGUUAUGCACAAGCACUUGGACACAGGAAUUGUCAGAGUAGUUCAGACCAGUAUCUUGUCACCAACAUGAGUCAGUACCAGAUGUGCCAGUGGAAGGUGCAAGAAAUCCUGCAAGUUCCCUGCUCCCAGGGAAAGUUUCUACCUAAUGCCCAGUUCUUAAAGUUUGGCUUUAUAUGCCUCCCAAACUUGUUUGUUUUUAAAUAUUUACUACCCUCUUUGAAUCUUGCUUAGCUCUUGGCCUCCGUGAUAUCUUGUGGCAUGGAGUUCCACAGGGUAAUUGUGCCUUGCGUGAAAAAGCAUUUCUCUUUGGUCAGUUUUGAAUUUACUAAUCUUCCCAAUUUGUGUUUUAAAUACAAGAUUUUAUCAAUAUU
Mauremys reevesii (Reeves's turtle) is the source of this 1766-nucleotide long non-coding RNA. RefSeq lists it as uncharacterized. The record is from RefSeq and is a predicted model, not a curated record. The transcript has 3 exons. Lineage: Eukaryota; Metazoa; Chordata; Testudines; Geoemydidae.